GACGAACGCUGGCGGCGUGCCUAAUACAUGCAAGUCGAACGCUGAAGGAGGAGCUUGCUUCUCUGGAUGAGUUGCGAACGGGUGAGUAACGCGUAGGUAACCUCCCUGUUAGCGGGGGAUAACUCUUGGAAACGCUAGCUAAUACCGCAUAAUAGUAGAUGUUGCAUGACAUUUGCUUAAAAGGUGCAAUUUCAUUACUACCAGAUGGACCUGCGUUGUCUUAGCUAGUUGGUGAGGUAACGGCUCAACAAGGCGACGAUACAUCGGCGACCUGAGAGGGUGAUCGGCCACACUGGGACUGGGACACGGCCCAGACUUCUAAGGGAAGGAGCAGGAGGGAAACCUUGGGAAAUGACGGAAAGCUGACCGAGCAAAGCCGGGGGAGUGAAGAAGGGUUUCGGAUCGUAAAGAUCUGUUGUAAGAGAAGAAAGAGUGGGGGAGUGGAAAGUGCACACUGUGACGGUACCUUACCAGAAAGCGACGGCUAACUACGUG
RNAcentral lists this ribosomal RNA (495 nucleotides) under uncultured bacterium. RNAcentral's name for it is "partial 16S ribosomal RNA". It matches the Rfam family "Bacterial small subunit ribosomal RNA", at positions 28 to 507 of the family's 1533-position model. The record is from RNAcentral.